GUUUUUAUAGUUGAAAUACAACGAUGGUUUUUCAUAUCAUUGGUCAUGGUUUAAAUCCAUGUGAAAACA
This 69-nucleotide transfer RNA is filed under the name Rhinopithecus brelichi (Gray snub-nosed monkey). RNAcentral describes it as "tRNA-Glu". It matches the Rfam family "tRNA". From Rfam's summary of the family: Transfer RNA (tRNA) molecules are approximately 80 nucleotides in length. Their secondary structure includes four short double-helical elements and three loops (D, anti-codon, and T loops). Lineage: Eukaryota; Metazoa; Chordata; Mammalia; Primates; Cercopithecidae. The record is from RNAcentral.